UACGGAGGGUGCAAGCGUUAUCCGGAUUCACUGGGUUUAAAGGGUGUGUAGGCGGGCUGUUAAGUCAGUGGUGAAAUCUCAAGGCUCAACCUUGAAACUGCCAUUGAUACUAUCAGUCUUGAAUUUUGUUGAGGUAGGCGGAAUAUGUCAUGUAGCGGUGAAAUGCUUAGAUAUGACAUAGAACACCGAUUGCGAAGGCAGCUUACUAAACAAAUAUUGACGCUGAGGCACGAAAGCGUGGGGAUCAAACAGG
Molecule: ribosomal RNA, 253 nt
Filed under: uncultured bacterium
Lineage: Bacteria
Description: partial 16S ribosomal RNA
Rfam family: Bacterial small subunit ribosomal RNA
Source: RNAcentral